This 253-nucleotide ribosomal RNA is filed under the name uncultured bacterium. Its description in RNAcentral is "partial 16S ribosomal RNA". It matches the Rfam family "Bacterial small subunit ribosomal RNA", at positions 524 to 776 of the family's 1533-position model. The record is from RNAcentral.
UACGUAGGGUGCGAGCGUUAAUCGGAAUUACUGGGCGUAAAGCGUGCGCAGGCGGUUUUGUAAGCCAGAUGUGAAAGCCCCGGGCUCAACCUGGGAAUGGCAUUUGGGACUGCAAGGCUUGAGUGCGGCAGAGGAGACUGGAAUUCCUGGUGUAGCAGUGAAAUGCGUAGAUAUCGAGAGGAACACCUGCGGCGAAGGCGGGUUGCUGGGCUGACACUGACGCUGAGGCGCGAAAGCCAGGGGAGCGAACGGG